RNAcentral lists this ribosomal RNA (559 nucleotides) under uncultured Nitrosopumilales archaeon. RNAcentral's name for it is "bacterial SSU rRNA". It matches the Rfam family "Archaeal small subunit ribosomal RNA", at positions 319 to 879 of the family's 1478-position model. The record is from RNAcentral. Lineage: Archaea; Thermoproteati; Nitrososphaerota; Nitrososphaeria; Nitrosopumilales.
GGCCCUAUGGGGCGCAGCAGGCGAGAAAACUUUGCAAUGUGCGAAAGCACGACAAGGUUAAUCCGAGUGGUUUCUGCUAAAGGAACCUUUUGUUAGUCCUAGAAACACUAACGAAUAAGGGGUGGGCAAGUUCUGGUGUCAGCCGCCGCGGUAAAACCAGCACCUCAAGUGGUCAGGAUGAUUAUUGGGCCUAAAGCAUCCGUAGCCGGCUCUGUAAGUUUUCGGUUAAAUCUGUACGCUCAACGUACAGGCUGCCGGGAAUGCUGCAGAGCUAGGGAGUGGGAGAGGUAGACGGUACUCGAUAGGAAGGGGUAAAAUCCUUUGAUCUAUUGAUGACCACCUGUGGCGAAGGCGGUCUACCAGAACACGUCCGACGGUGAGGGAUGAAAGCUGGGGGAGCAAACCGGAUUAGAUACCCGGGUAGUCCCAGCUGUAAACUAUGCAAACUCAGUGAUGCAUUGGCUUGUGGCCAAUGCAGUGCUGCAGGGAAGCCGUUAAGUUUGCCGCCUGGGAAGUACGUACGCAAGUAUGAAACUUAAAGGAAUUGGCGGGGGAGCAC